UGGCAAGCAAGAUGGCUCAGCAGGUAACAGUACUUGCCAACAAGCCUGACAACCUGAGCUCGAUCCCCAAGGACCCAUGUAGUAGAAGACAGUGAAGCUGCAUUUGCUCUGCACUGCAGUUGCUGUGAACACAGCUGGAGGCUGAAGAGGCAGAGCAUACCUGCAAGAAAAACCAUAUGCAUGCAUCUGGGAAGGCGGCCUGCCCCAUAAAGCACUUGCCAUGCAAGCCUUAGAGCGUGAGUCCAGAUCCCCAGCACACAUACAAAAAGCUGGCCAUGGUGUUGAGAACCCAUAAUCCUAGAAUUGAAGAGGAGGAGACUGGCUCUUCUCUUUUAAUCACUGGCAUGGAAAAAUAAUAUGCCAGGAAAAUCGCAAUGGUCCAAACAGGGAAAGAGCUGCAGGCAAAGGAGAAAUCAAUCACUCUUCAUUCCCUGGCAAUCUGGAGCGCACAAC
Non-coding RNA from Peromyscus maniculatus bairdii (prairie deer mouse), 453 nucleotides. The record is from RefSeq and is a predicted model, not a curated record. NCBI's taxonomy places the organism in Eukaryota, Metazoa, Chordata, Mammalia, Rodentia, Cricetidae.